This is a long non-coding RNA of Oryzias melastigma (Indian medaka), 1937 nucleotides long. RefSeq lists it as uncharacterized. The transcript has 2 exons. The record is from RefSeq and is a predicted model, not a curated record. Lineage: Eukaryota; Metazoa; Chordata; Actinopteri; Beloniformes; Adrianichthyidae.
AACCCAGUGUUAGUCGUUUCUGCAAUCUCCUUAGAUCAGGGAUGGGCAGCGCCAGACCUUGAGAGCUGGUGUGUCUGCAUGACUGAUUACCUGAUUCAGGUGUGUCCAGCCAGUCAGAACAUGCCAGAGCAAAGAAUGUUGGGACACAUGCAGGAAUUCAGCCCUCGAGGCCUUAGACAUUCUCUGCUUGAUGCAGGUCAGUGAUUUGACCCUUCUCAAAUAGAAACAUCUUUUCCAUGACCACAGAAUAUGUUUUUCAACAUGAUUGUUUACGAAAUGAGAAGCAGUUCAUUGCACCAGCUGGAGGUUAAUAAUUUGUUGCCUCCUGAAAAUUAACCAUGAAGAAAUUAUCCACUUGGAGGAUUAUACUUAUUUCAUUAUCUAAAUCCAGGAAGCAUGUUUCAACCAAGAUUCUUCAGCAGAGCUCCACCCUAUGCGAGUUUCUACAUGCAGCAGGAGUUUGCAGUCAACGCGUCUCCAACAGCAGCUUCGUGAAGAAGACAGUUUUUCAAGCUCUGGGGUCUAAACUUAUCAAACAAACUCCUUUAAAGGUGUUUUCUACUAAAAGUUACAGGUAAUUUCUGAGGAAGAUGAAGUCAAAGAUUUUCAAAUGUUUCUGCUCUGGUGGAACUUCACUAAAAUUGUCUGUUGAAGCUGAUACAAAGACUUGGUUUCUUUUACAAAGACAAUGUAACAAUGUUAUUUAUUAUUAUUAUUUUUUUUUAAGAUUUUGAGUCUGAAUUGGAAACAGAUUUUGCUUCAGCACAUCCAUUUUUUCUGCAGAAUUGUUUUCUCUACACGUCUGCUUAGGCUUAUAGUGUGCAGCUGAUUCUACAGAGAAGGAUGAUGCUUCAGAUCCAGACCAUAAUAAUCCCUGCACAGCCUUUAAACAGCACACUGAGGAAACAGCAGUCAACACCAGCCAGAGGAUUCUCCCGCUCAUAAACAGGAGAUCGAGAACUGCAGCAGUUCCAGUCAGAAAACUUUAUUGACAACAAAUCAAACUUCCCAUGAUCCCCUGCAGCUGUUUUCUCCUCUGCUAGAGUUACAGAUAGAGAUCAAGUAGAGCUUUGCUAUUCUGCAGAUUCAGAAGACAAGAGAAAAAGUUUUCACCAAGACUCACCAUGUCAGCAGAAGAAAUCAGGAGCAACUCUCACGUCUCCGUCUGCUCAGUCAAACUCAGCUAUCUCUCUCCUGGUUCUUCAAUACCAGAGCCGGGCUCCUCCCCUUGAGUUUCUCUCCUCCUCCUCCUCCUCCUCCUCCUCCUCCUCCUCUCUGUGCUCUCCAGAAAUCACCCAAAAGCACCAGUUAUCAGUCAACAAGCAGCUGCGUUCCACAGACUUUCUAAGCCCUGAAGGCGUAUAAACUAAAUUCAAUAAAAGAAAAAAAAAAAGUUGUAUUUGUGUCAGAAAUUCUUUCAAAUGAUUCGAUCUUUAAGUGUUUAUAUUGUACUGAUUUGCUUUGUAUUUUUAAUACUUGAAAUAUCUCUUAGUUAAACAACUAUUUGUGAUCCCUGAAAGCAGUUAUCACAUUCUGUCCAGAGGCUGGAUCAGCUGAUCUUUAGGAUUCCAUAUAGAGGCAGGAUGUGCAACAAAUAAGCAGAUCAGUCUAGAAUUCUAAUCAAAACAAAAAGCUGUUUUAUUUUUCACCAGAGGAGGGCAGCAGAGUGCAGGGACAACUGUUAUGAUCGUUUUUCUUGAAAAUUCAAAGAAUACAAUACAAAAAUAUAACAUUAUAAAAAUACAAUACAAGAACAUAAAAUAAUUCUAAAUAAAAGUCAAGGUUAUUCUUAACUUUUAAAAUUCUUAAUUGUUGAAAACAAGAAUAUUGUAUACAUUAUAAUAUAAUAUUUAAGAAACUGUAUAUAAAGAAUAACCAAAUCAAAAAUUCACAGAUAAAGAAAAAAAUAAAGAAAAUAAAAAUAAAUAAAUAAAAAA